GACAGAGGGUGCAAACGUUUUUCGGAAUCACUGGGCGUAAAGCGCGUGUAGGCGGCUUCUCAAGUCGGGUGUGAAAUCCCAGGGCUCAACCCUGGAAGUGCAUUCGAAACUGGGUAGCUAGAGUACUGGAGAGGAAGGUGGAAUGCUUGGUGUAGAGGUGAAAUUCGUAGAUAUCAAGCGGAACACCGGUGGCGAAGGCGGCCUUCUGGACAGAUACUGACGCUGAGACGCGAAAGCGUGGGGAGCAAACAGG
Molecule: ribosomal RNA, 253 nt
Filed under: uncultured bacterium
Lineage: Bacteria
Description: partial 16S ribosomal RNA
Rfam family: Bacterial small subunit ribosomal RNA
Source: RNAcentral